This 233-nucleotide long non-coding RNA is filed under the name Elaeis guineensis (African oil palm). Its description in RNAcentral is "long non-coding RNA (EGUI_LNC062165)". The record is from RNAcentral. Lineage: Eukaryota; Viridiplantae; Streptophyta; Magnoliopsida; Arecales; Arecaceae.
UGGAGGUUGUGAGUAGGUCAACAUGGAAUCAAUCACUCCUGGUAAGAGAAAAUCUCAUCCUACUUGUUCUGAUCGAUUGAUGAUUCAGGAAGCCUUUGAUCAAAGCAGAAUAAAAAUUAAAAAGAGUUUCUAAUAUUUUAUUAAUUGAAUCAUCAUAUAAGAUUGAGAGAAACAUGAGUAUGAUAUUGGAUUUGACAUCAUUCCAUAUCCAGAGUCAUAUUCGGGGUGCAGGG